This 1610-nucleotide long non-coding RNA is filed under the name Monodelphis domestica (gray short-tailed opossum). RNAcentral's name for it is "lncRNA (ENSMODG00000035669.2)". Lineage: Eukaryota; Metazoa; Chordata; Mammalia; Didelphimorphia; Didelphidae. The record is from RNAcentral.
GUAAUGGGGAACCUCUAAAGCUUCUUGAUCAGGGAGAUGAAGAUGGCAGAUCUGUGAUGAAGGAAGCUUAUUUUGGCCAUUGUAUGGAGGAUUAUUUGGAGAGGGAGACUGGAAGCAGGCAAGCCAAUUAGGAUACUAUUGCAAUAGUCUGGAUAAAAUGAUGAAGCCCUGAACUAGCCUGAUCAGAGUUGGAACUCUGGAUCUCAAGUCAGAGAAUCUGAAUCCCAAUUCUCCAAUUUUCCAUUUUCCCACAACUGGUUUGUGGUCCCCAAGACCUCUUCUGUCUCCACAUCUAUGAUGCUAGAAAUUUGGGUAGCAUCUUGGUUUGUAGUGGACGAUUGCCAACGUACCUUGGGAAUUAGUGGUCGGUGGCCGCCAUUUUUCCAGGAACCCUGUGAAGUCUGGAGAAGAAUGCUGGCAGGACACACCUCAAGUUAACAGGUUCUAUGAAAUAAUUCUUUGGGAGUUUGAUUGGUAUGGCACUGAACAAUUGAGAAAAAGGAGAGGUUAAAUGCCUUGAUCAAAAGCACACAAAUAGUUAAAGGAGAAACCAAUAUUAGAAGAGAAUUUUUUGACUGCAGUUGGAUUCUCCUCCCACAUACAGGGAUGCCUCAGAUGGAUGAAGUAUUGGCCUCCUCUACUAGAAACAAAGAAACAACUAAUUUAUGGUUCAAAACAUCAAGAACCCAUCAUUUUUUUUCCUAUGUGAGUAUUUGCAUCACUAAUACAGAGAAAAGGCAGCCCCUGUGGGUUACUAUAGUCAAGAAAACUCAUCAACUGGUGCAUGUUUCCAUACUUUGUCAAGCUGGUCCUUAGAAAUCUAACAUGUGGUCUGCCAUGAGACCAAUUCUUUGAGCCCUCCUGGAUUGGGAGAUGUGCCAAAGCUUGAGAUCCAUAGGCUUAGCCUUCCAAAAUCUCGAGUGUACCUUGCCCCACCAAAAUGAAGCGUAGGAAUGGAAACUGACCAAAAUCCAUUCAUUCACUCCAUUCUCGUGGGGACUGCAAAAGCCCCCUGCCCCUAAAAGCAGCUUCUCAUUUAUAAUUUAGAACUAUAAAUAGAUAGAUAUAGUCCCUACCCUCAAGGAAUUCAUACUGGAAGCAUAUUUUCUUCUUUCUUUACCUCUCUCCUGUUCUCUCUUUUCUCUCUUCUUUCCCAGAAGAGCUGACCUCACUCUUUAUGGUUUUUGUUUUGUUUUGUUUUUGAGAAGCAGCCAGAGGUCAAGAGAGGACCAGGCACAGAAGCCCCACCAAAAAAGAAAAAAAAAAGGGAAGCAUAUGAUGAAAGGAAGCCCAUCAUGACAGCUGGUACCUAAGAAAAAUGUCCAGCACUAGCAGGAACCCAAGUGGUAUUAGAGCAAUCCCUUACCACCGCAUCUGAAGAUUCAUUUCCAUUCUAUUCAACAGGCAAUUGUUAAGGGCCUGUUCUCUAUCAGAGGCAGCCCAAUGUGAUGGCCUGAGAGCUGGCCUCAAAGCCACCCUCAAGAGGUCAGUCAGGUCCUGCCUUGGACACAUUUUGGCUGUGUAACCCUGUAGGGAACUCCAAUUACGUGUAGCCAAGAAGAUGCUGACCCACAUUGGUAGAAUUUUAUCAUUAAAACCAUCAACUACUC